UGGUGUAUCAUGCAAGAAACUCGUAUAUAUUCGGAAAUAUGGUCCGAAGGUUUCUACCUGCUACCGUUAAUUAGCAGACUACGAGGUAUUGAUUUUAGUUU
RNAcentral lists this non-coding RNA (101 nucleotides) under Clostridium carboxidivorans. RNAcentral's name for it is "Guanine sequence". It matches the Rfam family "Purine riboswitch aptamer". From Rfam's summary of the family: Riboswitches are metabolite binding domains within certain messenger RNAs that serve as precision sensors for their corresponding targets. Allosteric rearrangement of mRNA structure is mediated by ligand binding, and this results in modulation of gene expression. The record is from RNAcentral. RNAcentral also lists the same sequence under 1 other name. Lineage: Bacteria; Bacillati; Bacillota; Clostridia; Eubacteriales; Clostridiaceae.